CCACGUGGUUCAGAACCACAUGAUUAUUUAACCAAAGCUCGGGUUGACUACACUUCAACUAACUGGAACCUACUGUAACGGCCCAGACCAUAAGAAAUUGGCAGCUUCGACUUUAUAUCUCUUGGAACACUCACUCAUGGAAUCCAGCCACCAUCCUGUGAGGAAGCCUAAGCAGGCCCACAGAAAGCCCCUUGUCGAGAAGAACCAAGGACCGUGGCCAACAGCCUCCAUCCGGUUCCCAGCUGACAGCCAACACCAAGUUGCCAGCCAUGUGAGCCCUGUUGGAAGUGAAUCCCCCAGCCUCAGUCUACAGCUGACACCAGUUAGAAGCAGCAUUCCAACAAGAAGAUCCACAAGAUGAAUUUGCAAAUAGCAGUUUCCAAACUUUUGAAUUGUUCAACCUGAGCAACAGUUCCAUCUCCAUGAAUACUUCACAUAUUGUUUAUCCUGCUCUUAAAUGUUACCUGAUUCUGCUACUACAAAUCAAUCAAAGAACUGGUGAUUUGUCUUGGGGUCUUAAAUUAAUUUUGAGCAGCUCUGCAAGCUGUGUCCCGUGAGAGAGCUUGUGGGGAGGAAAAUCAAAGAAAAGCUAAAAAAAAAAAAAAAAAAGAAAAGGAGAACAAAAACAAAAGAACACCCACAGGUUUGCAAAUUGAGGUCUGAAUAAUACACCAGUCCCAUUAAAUUAUGUUGUUAAUCCCAAGACAAUUAGUCUUCCUGUGAGAAGUGUAUGUAGGAGCACAUUCUAAGUACAUAGAUGGUUGUCUGAAACUCAGAAUAGUAUCGCAUAUCAACCCAAAAUGAUCUCUCCACAGAUCAUAAAUGACAUUACUUGAAAUAUCUUAAUUUGUAUAUCAGGUUCUUCGACAUGGGAAAAUUCCCUGAAUAUUUAUGCAAAAUGAAAGCAAAGAACACUAUAAAUUGAAAUGCAAUAAAAGGAGUUUAUUUCCAAGCCACAGCUUGGAAUCAUCUCCGUUUUGAAUGUUGCUGGCAAAGAAUGUAUUCUUGAUUAGGCUUUGUUGAUAGGCAAAAUGUGGAGCACAUUUCCAGUUCUAAUAAGUCUCUGAGGCUCUAGAAAUUCAUUUCUGAGCUACAUAAAAUAGAUCAGCACAAUUUCUCCUCUUCUCUCCUACCAAGAGAAAAAGAAGCACCCAACCAGAAUAGAACUGACAGUAUACAAGAGAAUUCACAAUGUCUAGGAUGAUCUCUGAACAUAUAUACAAAGAUGAAAUGCCAUGGAGGGGAGAAAAGUUAGAAGGUCUUAAGAAAGGGUUGGCCAAUGCCAAUGGUAUAGGAGAAAAAGAUGGAAGGAAUGGGGAAGCAUAAUUGGGAGGGGAGCAGGGAGAAAUUCAUGAUGAUAUUACAUCCUGUGUUAAUAGAAUUGCUUCUAGAGGCAACUGUGCCAGAAGUUACUGCCCCCAGAAUUUGCAGAUAUCUUAUAGAAGGGAGAAUGAGAACCCCAGGGGUCAGUUCCCCAUUUUGCCACUGGCCAGCUGCAUGAUCUUAGAAAUAUUAAAUAUUCUGCAUUUGUUUUCCCAGAUAUGUAAAAACAGAAAUUGCCACAUUACCUACUCGUCCUACAGAAAUCUCUGAACUAGAAUUCUUUGAAAGUCCAUGCGACUUGUAACUUAUAUGAUACAAUUUCACAGUUAAAAUUUUUGUCAUCCCCAUUCUAAGACUCUAUCCAAGGUGUAAACCUCAUAAGCACUAAGGCCACACCUCAGCAUCUUGGUUCUGCUUCUUACCUUGCAGGCAGGCUCAAAACUGCCACAGAACCAGAGAGAAUGUCAUUAGUUUUCUUACUUUUAUGGUUAUUAUCGACCCUUAACUACAGGUCUCCCUCUUGGUGGCUUCCCUCCUCCAUGGCUCCUCAUGUCAUGGGCUACAUUUUUGUUGUCAGAUUACCUCCAAACACACGGUCCCCCAGCAAACAUUAAGUCUAAUAAAAACAUUAACCAAAAGGUAUUAAAAGUUCAGCCUGCAUUUUUACGUUUCCUCUGGAGUCUUAUUCUUGAUAAUUUACAUAACUGCUUCAGAAUACCGAACAUGCAUUUUUAAAUGUCACUGCUUGCAGGGAUUAUUUGUAUAUUGCCUUAAUUAGCCUCAACUUCAAAAUCUGGUUGAUCAGAAUCGGGG
Molecule: long non-coding RNA, 2136 nt
Filed under: Homo sapiens (human)
Lineage: Eukaryota; Metazoa; Chordata; Mammalia; Primates; Hominidae
Description: HSALNT0376387
Source: RNAcentral